AGGAUCUUGAGUCUCUAAUAAUCUCUUUCAAGAGCUGAGAAGAUUAGCAUGGCCCCUGCGCAAGGAUGACAUGCACAAAUCGAGAAAUGGUCCAAAUUUUU
Musa acuminata AAA Group (dessert banana) is the source of this 101-nucleotide small nuclear RNA. NCBI's taxonomy places the organism in Eukaryota, Viridiplantae, Streptophyta, Magnoliopsida, Zingiberales, Musaceae. The record is from RefSeq and is a predicted model, not a curated record.